Long non-coding RNA from Talpa occidentalis (Iberian mole), 375 nucleotides. RefSeq lists it as uncharacterized. NCBI's taxonomy places the organism in Eukaryota, Metazoa, Chordata, Mammalia, Eulipotyphla, Talpidae. The record is from RefSeq and is a predicted model, not a curated record. The transcript is spliced from 3 exons.
GAAAAUUCCUUUCUGUCUGGCCUUGAAGAAGGUUGCAGCUCUGUGGCCACCCAAGGACAAAGGGGGAGGCACAUCCCAGUGCUGAGACAGCAGAUGUCUACACACGCCUGCUUCCAGGGAGACUCCACUCUCACUUUCCCAUUUGCUCCGGAGAUCCUCCCCACGCCAUCUGUGUCCUGCUCCCACCCUGGGCACCUGCUUACCUGGCCUGGAGGACCUGCCCUGUGCUCCUCUGCGCUGCGCUCCCAGAGCUCUCCCCUUGGCGCAGAACCCCUCUCACAGGCCGCACUGUGGGGUUCGUGGGCUGCCUGAUGUCUCCAGGCCCCAGACUUUAGCCCUCCCGCUUUCCUAAGCCCUCCCAGUUGUGGGAGACUC